RNAcentral lists this ribosomal RNA (460 nucleotides) under uncultured bacterium. Its description in RNAcentral is "partial 16S ribosomal RNA". It matches the Rfam family "Bacterial small subunit ribosomal RNA", at positions 338 to 795 of the family's 1533-position model. The record is from RNAcentral.
CCUACGGGUGGCAGCAGUGAGGAAUAUUGGUCAAUGGACGAGAGUCUGAACCAGCCAAGUAGCGUGAAGGAUGACUGCCCUAUGGGUUGUAAACUUCUUUUAUCAAGGAAUAAAACGAGGCACGUGUGCCUUUUUGUAUGUACUUUAUGAAUAAGGAUCGGCUAACUCCGUGCCAGCAGCCGCGGUAAUACGGAGGAUCCGAGCGUUAUCCGGAUUUAUUGGGUUUAAAGGGAGCGUAGAUGGGUUGUUAAGUCAGGUGUGAAAGUUUGCGGCUCAACCGUAAAAUUGCAAUUGAUACUGGCAUUCUUGAGUACAGUUGAGGUAGGCGGAAUGCGUGGUGUAGCGGUGAAAUGCUUAGAUAUCACGAAGAACCCCGAUUGCGAAGGCAGCUUACUAAACUGUGACUGACAUUGAUGCACGAAAGUGUGGGUAUCAAACAGGAUUAGAUACCCUGGUAGUC